Molecule: ribosomal RNA, 253 nt
Filed under: uncultured bacterium
Lineage: Bacteria
Description: partial 16S ribosomal RNA
Rfam family: Bacterial small subunit ribosomal RNA
Source: RNAcentral
UACGUAGGGUGCAAGCGUUAAUCGGAAUUACUGGGCGUAAAGCGUGCGCAGGCGGUUUUGUAAGUCUGAUGUGAAAUCCCCGGGCUCAACCUGGGAAUUGCAUUGGAGACUGCAAAGCUAGAAUCUGGCAGAGGGGGGUAGAAUUCCACGUGUAGCAGUGAAAUGCGUAGAGAUGUGGAGGAACACCGAUGGCGAAGGCAGCCCCCUGGGUCAAGAUUGACGCUCAUGCACGAAAGCGUGGGGAGCAAACAGG